Phalacrocorax carbo (great cormorant) is the source of this 428-nucleotide non-coding RNA. NCBI's taxonomy places the organism in Eukaryota, Metazoa, Chordata, Aves, Suliformes, Phalacrocoracidae. The record is from RefSeq and is a predicted model, not a curated record.
ACACAAGAACUAGGAUAUUGGAUUUGAUUUAAAGUUCUCCUGGCUCAGCAUCCUGCUCGUGACAGCAACCCGUGAAGAGUCAGCCUGUUUGGAGACGUCGCCCGUGAUGAGUGAUUUCCAGAAACACCAACUCAGUGAAGUCAUGGAACAACAGUGAAGGUUAACUGUCCAAAGGACUUGUGGUUAAAGGAUUACGUAUGCUGUUCUGCUGGAAAUGUUAGUGUGUUGAUCAAGUCAACAGUCUUGCAGCCUCUAUGUGUAGCACAGCAUGAUCUUGGAUAUCAUCAGCAAAGAAUGUGAGCUCCUCCCAGAAAAGAAUUUGCCUUCCAGCCAUGAAAAUGCAAGUGACCACGGAUGGUGAGAGAAGUCAUGCAGAACUGGUGGCUAUGUUCUACUCCUUUUCCCAGCAGUCCAUCAUUUUCCUGCAU